CCUACGGGAGUCAGCAGUGAGGAAUAUUGGUCACUGGACGAGAGUCUGAACCAGCCAAGUAGCGUGAAGGAUGACUGCCCUAUGGGUUGUAAACUUCUUUUAUAUGGGAAUAAAAUGUUCCACGUGUGUGAUUUUGUAUGUACCAUAUGAAUAAGGAUCGGCUAACUCCGUGCCAGCAGCCGCGGUAAUACGGAGGAUCCGAGCGUUAUCCGGAUUUAUUGGGUUUAAAGGGAGCGUAGGUGGAUUGUUAAGUCAGUUGUGAAAGUUUGCGGCUCAACCGUAAAAUUGCAGUUGAAACUGGCAGUCUGGAGUACAGUAGAGGUGGGCGGAAUGCGUGGUGUAGCGGUGAAAUGCUUAGAUAUCACGAAGAACUCCGAUUGCGAAGGCAGCUCACUGGACUGCAACUGACACUGAGGCUCGAAAGUGUGGGUAUCAAACAGGAUUAGAGACCCUGGUAGUC
This 460-nucleotide ribosomal RNA is filed under the name uncultured bacterium. RNAcentral describes it as "partial 16S ribosomal RNA". It matches the Rfam family "Bacterial small subunit ribosomal RNA", at positions 338 to 795 of the family's 1533-position model. The record is from RNAcentral.